This is an RNA transcript of Varroa destructor (honeybee mite), 844 nucleotides long. It is a transcript of the gene named cuticle protein 14-like, with no coding region annotated. The record is from RefSeq and is a predicted model, not a curated record. NCBI's taxonomy places the organism in Eukaryota, Metazoa, Arthropoda, Arachnida, Mesostigmata, Varroidae.
UACAGAUGUUUGUUCCGAUAACGCUGUAAGCCUAUUGGGAAAAAUAACCACAAGCCUGGCUAUAGACAGACAGUACCUCUUCUGCUGGCAGCCAGUCAACCAGGCAUCCGUCUGAUAGAACAAUGCCAAACGGCGAUAGCGGACGUGAAACCUAAACGAGAAGUAACCCAUAGGACCAAUAUACGAAAUUCUGAGCCCUAAAUAACCCCUCGUAGGCAUUGGCCAAACGGAGACCCAUUUGCCUACAGUGUUGCAACAACGCUCUACGCCAGUCUAUCCUUUCUUGAUAGUGUUGAAACAUGGUAUAAAAUGGAUAAUACGUGUAGAGAUACUUUGCCCUACAACAGCAACGAUAUAAGGGCACAUAGUAGUGGCAGAAGAAGACUGAAGACAUUCGAUUUUAUGGCGCGCGGACAAUUAAUCUGCGCAAAUCAAGUUAUCAUGCAGCUGGACCGUAUUUCAGAUCAAGUCAUUAUUUUCCCUUAGUGGCAGGCGUUUGAGAAAAUGAAAAAAAAAAACGUGAAAACGGCAGAUAGGUAUUGAUGUUUAUAAGAACAUUUAUUUAUGGUGUUUAUUUCUGCAUUGCAGUUUUUGUUUUUAUUAUCUGUACGCAUAACGAGCGAGCGAAUACUUUUAGACAAGACGGUACUACUUAGCCACACAUGGCACUGCAGGCUUCCGACGCUUCUGAAUGUUUCCCAGCCCGUGACAACACAUUCAAAGCAGACUUUUGAGGUUUGGAUUUGCCUGUUCUACAAAAAUAAUUUUCCAAGUGCAUGUUUCUUUUUUUUUGCUAUUAACUUAUACCAUAUCAAUAUUUGUGUUAACGCCAACGAGAUGUACG